UUAAGCAUAUCAAUAAGCGGAGGAAAAGAAACUAACAAGGAUUCCCUUAGUAACUGCGAGUGAAGCGGGAAAAGCUCAAAUUUAAAAUCUGGCGGUUCUGCCGUCCGAGUUGUAAUUUAGAGAAGUGCUAUCCGCGCUGGACCGUGUACAAGUUCCCUGGAAUGGGACGUCAUAGAGGGUGAGAAUCCCGUCUUUGACACGGACUACCAGGGCAUUGUGAUGCGCUCUCGAAGAGUCGAGUUGUUUGGGAAUGCAGCUCAAAAUGGGUGGUAAAUUCCAUCUAAAGCUAAAUAUUGGGGAGAGACCGAUAGCGAACAAGUACCGUGAGGGAAAGAUGAAAAGAACUUUGGAAAGAGAGUUAAACAGUACGUGAAAUUGCUGAAAGGGAAACGCUUGAAGUCAGUCGCGUCGUUCAGGAUUCAGCCUUGCCUUUGCUUGGUGUACUUCCUGUUCGACGGGUCAGCAUCAGUUUUGGCCGGUGGAAAAAGGCUCAGAGAAUGUGGCACCUUCGGGUGUGUUAUAGCUCUGGGUCACAUACAUCGGCUGGGACUGAGGAACUCAGCACGCCGCAAGGCCGGGUUUCGACCACGUUCGUGCUUAGGAUGCUGGCAUAAUGGCUUUAAUCGACCCGUGUUGAG
RNAcentral lists this ribosomal RNA (638 nucleotides) under uncultured fungus. RNAcentral's name for it is "eukaryotic LSU rRNA". It matches the Rfam family "Eukaryotic large subunit ribosomal RNA", at positions 34 to 658 of the family's 3401-position model. Lineage: Eukaryota; Fungi. The record is from RNAcentral.